UCGGCCUGGAUCCCCUAACCUCUCUCCUCCGAUCCUCCCCUGUGGAGACGUUCUCCAUGCCUCUCCAUGCGCCCCCGCAUCCAUGGGUCUCCGUCGCCAGCGCGGCUCCGCGCCUCAUCUGGUAUGGCUGCUCGGCGUCUUCGCACGCGCGGGAGCUGAAUUGCGCUCGACGGUGCUGCUCCGCCUCGGCUACAUCGACUUCGACGCCGACGGUUCGGAAAGAGGGAAGCACCACAAUGAACUGCAGUCGAGUUCGAGGAAUAAUUGUUCUUAUAAUGCAAUUUGGGCUCUGUUAAUUGGUGAAUUCUAUUUUAGAAGUCCACUUUUAUAGGGAAAAAGGGUGCUGUUCAAAGAAUUAGGUAGCUUGCCUGAAUUCUUCUUGUGGGAGUUGUGCAGAAUCCAGGACAAUUUGUCUCCCCAUAACCACUUUGGUGUCCUGUUAUGGAACAAGUUAUACAUCACUCUGGUACAUCUAAUGUUCACUUGUCUUUUAUGCGUAUUGAUAGUGUUCAUAUCUAAUUCUCAUAUAACUCCAGCUGGCUUAGUAAAUAGAAAACCCCGACAAGACCCUCUUUAUGGUAUCUCUAAUUCAGAUCCACGCUCAAGAAGGAAUACAGGUAGAGCUACUGUUGACUUCCUCUAUAUAUGUGUAUUGCAGGAACGUUAGUACUGUUUAAAUUUUGUUCUGUUAACGAAAACAGUUCAAACUAUGUGUAUGGGAUGUCCCAACAGUGCAAAGAUGUGUAUGACCUGUGUAUAUCUCUAGAUAUCUCUUCGAGUUCGAUUACAAAACAUGCUGAUGUACUAAAGUGAUAUGGGCGUUUUUGAAAGUGGUUUAUGGAAGAAAAU
Triticum dicoccoides is the source of this 849-nucleotide long non-coding RNA. RefSeq lists it as uncharacterized. Lineage: Eukaryota; Viridiplantae; Streptophyta; Magnoliopsida; Poales; Poaceae. The record is from RefSeq and is a predicted model, not a curated record. The transcript has 3 exons.